This 246-nucleotide ribosomal RNA is filed under the name uncultured bacterium. RNAcentral's name for it is "partial 16S ribosomal RNA". It matches the Rfam family "Bacterial small subunit ribosomal RNA", at positions 523 to 769 of the family's 1533-position model. The record is from RNAcentral.
AUACGUAGGUGGCAAGCGUUGUCCGGAAUUACUGGGUGUAAAGGGAGCGUAGGCGGGCAGGCAAGUCAGGCGUUAAAUCCAUCGGCUCAACCGGUGGCUGCGCUUGAAACUGCAGGUCUUGAGUGAAGUAGAGGUUGGCGGAAUUCCUAGUGUAGCGGUGAAAUGCGUAGAUAUUAGGAGGAACACCAGUGGCGAAGGCGGCUUUCUGGACUGUAACUGACACUGAGGCACGAAAGCGUGGGGAGC